Molecule: ribosomal RNA, 492 nt
Filed under: uncultured bacterium
Lineage: Bacteria
Description: partial 16S ribosomal RNA
Rfam family: Bacterial small subunit ribosomal RNA
Source: RNAcentral
AGUGAACGCUGGCGGUAGGCCUAACACAUGCAAGUCGAACGGCAGCACAGUAAGAGCUUGCUCUUACGGGUGGCGAGUGGCGGACGGGUGAGGAAUAAAUCGGAAUCUACUUUUUCGUGGGGGAUAACGUAGGGAAACCUACGCUAAUACCGCAUACGACCUACGGGUGAAAGCAGGGGAUCUUCGGACCUUGCGCGACUGAAUGAGCCGAUGUCGGAUUAGCUAGUUGGCGGGGUAAAGGCCCACCAAGGCGACGAUCCGUAGCUGGUCUGAGAGGUUAAUCAGCCACACUAGAACUGAGACACGGUCCUGACUCCUGCGGGAGGCAGCAGUGGGGAAUGUUAGACAGUGGGCGCAAGCCUGAUCCAGCCAUACCGCGUGUGUUAAGAAGGCCUUCGGUUUGUAAAGCCCUUUUGUUGGGAAAGAAAAGCAGCAGGUUAAUACCCCGCUGUUCUGACGGUACCCAAAGAAUAAGCACCGGCUAACUUCGUG